UGNGACCAGAGGUUAGAGGUUACAGCUGC
RNAcentral lists this non-coding RNA (29 nucleotides) under Mus musculus (house mouse). The record is from RNAcentral. Lineage: Eukaryota; Metazoa; Chordata; Mammalia; Rodentia; Muridae.